UAAUUUUUAUGGAGAGUUUGAUCCUGGCUCAGGAUGAACGCUGGCGGCGUGCCUAAUACAUGCAAGUCGAGCGAACGGACGAGAAGCUUGCUUCUCUGAUGUUAGCGGCGGACGGGUGAGUAACACGUGGAUAACCUACCUAUAAGACUGGGAUAACUUCGGGAAACCGUAGCUAAUACCGGAUAAUAUUUUGAACCGCAUGGUUCAAAAGUGAAAGACGGUCUUGCUGUCACUUAUAGAUGGAUCCGCGCUGCAUUAGCUAGUUGGUAAGGUAACGGCUUACCAAGGCAACGAUGCAUAGCCGACCUGAGAGGGUGAUCGGCCACACUGGAACUGAGACACGGUCCAGACUCCUACGGGAGGCAGCAGUAGGGAAUCUUCCGCAAUGGGCGAAAGCCUGACGGAGCAACGCCGCGUGAGUGAUGAAGGUCUUCGGAUCGUAAAACUCUGUUAUUAGGGAAGAACAUAUGUGUAAGUAACUGUGCACAUCUUGACGGUACCUAAUCAGAAAGCCACGGCUAACUACGUGCCAGCAGCCGCGGUAAUACGUAGGUGGCAAGCGUUAUCCGGAAUUAUUGGGCGUAAAGCGCGCGUAGGCGGUUUUUUAAGUCUGAUGUGAAAGCCCACGGCUCAACCGUGGAGGGUCAUUGGAAACUGGAAAACUUGAGUGCAGAAGAGGAAAGUGGAAUUCCAUGUGUAGCGGUGAAAUGCGCAGAGAUAUGGAGGAACACCAGUGGCGAAGGCGACUUUCUGGUCUGUAACUGACGCUGAUGUGCGAAAGCGUGGGGAUCAAACAGGAUUAGAUACCCUGGUAGUCCACGCCGUAAACGAUGAGUGCUAAGUGUUAGGGGGUUUCCGCCCCUUAGUGCUGCAGCUAACGCAUUAAGCACUCCGCCUGGGGAGUACGACCGCAAGGUUGAAACUCAAAGGAAUUGACGGGGACCCGCACAAGCGGUGGAGCAUGUGGUUUAAUUCGAAGCAACGCGAAGAACCUUACCAAAUCUUGACAUCCUUUGACAACUCUAGAGAUAGAGCCUUCCCCUUCGGGGGACAAAGUGACAGGUGGUGCAUGGUUGUCGUCAGCUCGUGUCGUGAGAUGUUGGGUUAAGUCCCGCAACGAGCGCAACCCUUAAGCUUAGUUGCCAUCAUUAAGUUGGGCACUCUAAGUUGACUGCCGGUGACAAACCGGAGGAAGGUGGGGAUGACGUCAAAUCAUCAUGCCCCUUAUGAUUUGGGCUACACACGUGCUACAAUGGACAAUACAAAGGGCAGCGAAACCGCGAGGUCAAGCAAAUCCCAUAAAGUUGUUCUCAGUUCGGAUUGUAGUCUGCAACUCGACUACAUGAAGCUGGAAUCGCUAGUAAUCGUAGAUCAGCAUGCUACGGUGAAUACGUUCCCGGGUCUUGUACACACCGCCCGUCACACCACGAGAGUUUGUAACACCCGAAGCCGGUGGAGUAACCUUUUAGGAGCUAGCCGUCGAAGGUGGGACAAAUGAUUGGGGUGAAGUCGUAACAAGGUAGCCGUAUCGGAAGGUGCGGCUGGAUCACCUCCUUUCUAAG
This 1562-nucleotide ribosomal RNA is filed under the name Staphylococcus aureus subsp. aureus T0131. RNAcentral describes it as "16S ribosomal RNA". It matches the Rfam family "Bacterial small subunit ribosomal RNA". The record is from RNAcentral. Lineage: Bacteria; Bacillati; Bacillota; Bacilli; Caryophanales; Staphylococcaceae.